Molecule: long non-coding RNA, 697 nt
Filed under: Anas platyrhynchos platyrhynchos (common mallard)
Lineage: Eukaryota; Metazoa; Chordata; Aves; Anseriformes; Anatidae
Description: lncRNA (ENSAPLG00000027567.1)
Source: RNAcentral
AUGGUUGAAGGCUUUCUCUGCUGUUAUUGGUAUUUCACAGCUUUGGUUAAGAAAACUAGUUGGAAGGAGGGUAGUUUAAGGAGGCUAAAGGGGUCUGACUUGUUUUCAAGUGUGAAGCCUGGGUAUCCAUGCUAUACAGUCAACAGCGUGCUGGUUUUGUACCUGUUCACCCUCCUUGUUACUUUGAAAACUUCAAGAACAACUUGUACAAUGGUUCAACUUGGUGACAUUCAGCCUGCACGUCUUCAUACAGAGGAUUCAAUACAAGAAACAAGCUGUGUUGGAAAGUACGAGACAGCUCUGUGCCACAGCAUGGCUUUGGAUAACUUUGCAGAUGUUACUUUUCUGUACAUACUGCUGGAGGCUCCCAAGUAUCCAGUCUCUGUCCUGUUCCCUGGCAUUCAGUUCACCUAGCCUUGGUUCCAAUGAGGAGUUUUCAGUAAUGCCUUUAGAUUAAAUGUAUAAUUCUUCUGCAGUAACUACACACCUGAAAAUGUUACUGAGACUAUAAAAUGAAAUAUUAGAGCAAUAUGAAGAGAGAGACAUAUUUUAUUUCAAUGUAUCAUUUAAUUGGGUAUUUGUCCAGACGUGAUUUAUCAGGGAAACUAGAAUGUUUCAAGUAGCUUAAGUGUUAUUUCCUGUUUUAUUCUUUGGGCAGGGGAAUAAAAUGAAUUUGGGAAACUAACUGGUCGCUAAA